RNAcentral lists this ribosomal RNA (479 nucleotides) under uncultured bacterium. Its description in RNAcentral is "bacterial SSU rRNA". It matches the Rfam family "Bacterial small subunit ribosomal RNA", at positions 28 to 507 of the family's 1533-position model. The record is from RNAcentral.
AAUGAACGCUGGCGGCGUGGAUUAGGCAUGCAAGUCGAGCGAGAAGGUUUCUUUUGCUUGCAUUAGAAACUGGAAAGCGGCGAAAGGGAGAGUAACGCGUAGGAUACCUGCCCCCAGGUCUGGGAUAGCGGUGGGAAACUGCCGGUAAUACCGGAUAAUGUCCCCGGACCAAAGGUGAGAUUCCGCCUGGGGAUGGUCCUGCGUCCUAUUAGUUUGUUGGUGGGGUAACGGCCUACCAAGACUUUGAUGGGUAGCGGGCGUGAGAGCGUGGCCCGUCUCACUGGGACUGAGACACUGCCCAGACACCUACGGGUGGCUGCAGUCGAGAAUCUUCCGCAAUGGACGCAAGUCUGACGGAGCGACGCCGCGUGCGGGAUGAAGGCCUUCGGGUUGUAAACCGCUGUCAGUGGGGUGGAAAUGCAUCGGGGCUAUCCCCGGUGUUUGACCUAACCGCAGAGGAAGUCCGGGCUAAGUACGUG